RNAcentral lists this ribosomal RNA (497 nucleotides) under uncultured bacterium. Its description in RNAcentral is "partial 16S ribosomal RNA". It matches the Rfam family "Bacterial small subunit ribosomal RNA", at positions 28 to 507 of the family's 1533-position model. The record is from RNAcentral.
GAUGAACGCUGGCGGCGUGCCUAAUACAUGCAAGUCGAGCGAACGGACGAGAAGCUUGCUUCUCUGAUGUUAGCGGCGGACGGGUGAGUAACACGUGGAUAACCUACCUAUAAGACUGAGAUAACUUCGGGAAACCGGAGCUAAUACCGGAUAAUAUUUUGAACCGCAUGGUUCAAAAGUUAAAUACGGUCUUGCUGCCACUUAUUGAUGGUUCCGCGCUGCAUUAGCUAGUUGGUAAGGUAACGGCUUACCAAGGCAACGAUGCAUAGCCGACCUGAGAGGGUGAUCGGCCACACUGGAACUGAGACACGGUCCAGCCUCCUACGGGAGGCAGCAGUAGGGAAUCUUGCGCAAUGGGCGAAAGCCUGCCGGAGCACCGCGCCGUGGUUGAUGAAGGUCUUCGGAUCGUAAACCUCUGUUAUUAGGGAAGAACAUAUGUGUAAGUAACUGUGCACAUCUUGACGGUACCUAAUCAGAAAGCCACGGCUAACUACGUG